Molecule: long non-coding RNA, 623 nt
Filed under: Lepisosteus oculatus (spotted gar)
Lineage: Eukaryota; Metazoa; Chordata; Actinopteri; Semionotiformes; Lepisosteidae
Description: lncRNA (ENSLOCG00000023322.1)
Source: RNAcentral
CUCUGCUGUUACCUUUUGAAAUCUUAAUUUGCCUUUUAAAAUAUGGUGCCUCUGGUGCCUUUGCUAAUUUUCAAACUUCAAAUGCUUGGUGUAACAAUGUCACAUAACACUUUCCCCUUUUAAAUCUCCCCAGCUAUCUCAGCUUGAAGCCAAUUUAUAGAUCCCAGUCUCAGCAUGGAUAUAAUAGUGAUGGAGACCAGACAUUCACUAAUAUCCUUCAAAUACAGAAGUCUGCACUGUACACAAAUCCGUUUUCAAGCAUGUGGAUUUUGAGCAGUGGAGCACUGUGAGGGAGUCCAUAUUCCUGAGUAGAACGUGCCACUGACUAGUCCCUGGGAGGCUUCAGUAAAAGGCAGCCAUUUUGGCUCAUCCAGGAAACAAGGAGAGUGACUGAGCCAAAAUGGCGAUCGACAGCCUAUUGAUUACAGCUGUAGGCAGGGAUAAUUAGUCUCGAAUUGCUAUAUUGUAUAACUGGUGACAAAAAGUAAUUGCUUUUAGGAAAAAGACCAGUAGAGAGCAAGAGAGGCAGAGAAAAAGGUAUGUGUAUAUUGUUAUUUUUUGGAUGUUUUGAGCUUUGAAAGUAGUCCUGCGUCAUUUCUUGUUAGGGAAAAGCUUACUAAAUU